AUUGAACGCUGGCGGCAUGCUUUACACAUGCAAGUCGAACGGCAGCGCGGGCUUCGGCCUGGCGGCGAGUGGCGAACGGGUGAGUAAUGCAUCGGAACGUGCCCAGUAGUGGGGGAUAGCCCGGCGAAAGCCGGAUUAAUACCGCAUACGACCUGAGGGUGAAAGCGGGGGACCGAAGGGCCUCGCGCUAUUGGAGCGGCCGAUGUCGGAUUAGCUAGUUGGUGGGGUAAAGGCUUACCAAGGCGACGAUCCGUAGCUGGUCUGAGAGGACGACCAGCCACACGGGGACUGAGACACGGCCCAGACUCCUACGGGAGGCAGCAGUGGGGAAUGUUGGACAAUGGGGGCAACCCUGAUCCAGCCAUGCCGCGUGCGGGAAGAAGGCCUUCGGGUUGUAAACCGCUUUUGUUCGGGAAGAAAUUCUCUGGGCUAAUACCCCGGGGGGAUGACGGUACCGGAAGAAUAAGCACCGGCUAACUACGUG
Molecule: ribosomal RNA, 484 nt
Filed under: uncultured bacterium
Lineage: Bacteria
Description: partial 16S ribosomal RNA
Rfam family: Bacterial small subunit ribosomal RNA
Source: RNAcentral